RNAcentral lists this long non-coding RNA (213 nucleotides) under Sorghum bicolor (sorghum). Its description in RNAcentral is "long non-coding RNA (SBIC_LNC008407)". Lineage: Eukaryota; Viridiplantae; Streptophyta; Magnoliopsida; Poales; Poaceae. The record is from RNAcentral.
GGUUAUAUAUUAUUUCUCUCUUAAGUAUUUGCAUCAGGAUUUCAUUCUUAUUCUAUAUUUCUUUCCGCACACUUCCACCUGCUGCAUGUUGGGUUGGUUGAUGCGGUUUGGAACGGAGAGGCUGAAGCGACCUAAAAAAAAUAUCGCACCAUUCGGUGGUCUUACUUUUAUUAUUUUAAAUUUUAGGAGAUUAUUUAGAGUUUUUAAGUGUAU